This 2892-nucleotide ribosomal RNA is filed under the name Klebsiella aerogenes. Its description in RNAcentral is "bacterial LSU rRNA". Lineage: Bacteria; Pseudomonadati; Pseudomonadota; Gammaproteobacteria; Enterobacterales; Enterobacteriaceae. The record is from RNAcentral.
ACUAAGCGUACACGGUGGAUGCCCUGGCAGUCAGAGGCGAUGAAGGACGUGCUAAUCUGCGAAAAGCGUCGGUAAGGUGAUAUGAACCGUUACAGCCGGCGAUGUCCGAAUGGGGAAACCCAGUGCAAUUCGUUGCACUAUCGUUAACUGAAUACAUAGGUUAACGAGGCGAACCGGGGAACUGAAACAUCUAAGUACCCCGAGGAAAAGAAAUCAACCGAGAUUCCCCCAGUAGCGGCGAGCGAACGGGGAGCAGCCCAGAGUCUGAAUCAGCUUGUGUGUUAGUGGAACGGUCUGGAAAGUCCGACGGUACAGGGUGAUAGUCCCGUACACCAAAAUGCACAGGUUGUGAACUCGAAGAGUAGGGCGGGACACGUGRUAUCCUGUCUGAAUAUGGGGGGACCAUCCUCCAAGGCUAAAUACUCCUGACUGACCGAUAGUGAACCAGUACCGUGAGGGAAAGGCGAAAAGAACCCCGGCGAGGGGAGUGAAAAAGAACCUGAAACCGUGUACGUACAAGCAGUGGGAGCACCUUCGGGUGUGACUGCGUACCUUUUGUAUAAUGGGUCAGCGACUUAUAUUCUGUAGCAAGGUUAACCGUAUAGGGGAGCCGCAGGGAAACCGAGUCUUAACUGGGCGUUAAGUUGCAGRGUAUAGACCCGAAACCCGGUGAUCUAGCCAUGGGCAGGUUGAAGGUUGGGUAACACUAACUGGAGGACCGAACCGACUAAUGUUGAAAAAUUAGCGGAUGACUUGUGGCUGGGGGUGAAAGGCCAAUCAAACCGGGAGAUAGCUGGUUCUCCCCGAAAGCUAUUUAGGUAGCGCCUCGUGAACUCAUCUUCGGGGGUAGAGCACUGUUUCGGCUAGGGGGUCAUCCCGACUUACCAACCCGAUGCAAACUACGAAUACCGAAGAAUGUUAUCACGGGAGACACACGGCGGGUGCUAACGUCCGUCGUGAAGAGGGAAACAACCCAGACCGCCAGCUAAGGUCCCAAAGUCACAGUUAAGUGGGAAACGAUGUGGGAAGGCACAGACAGCCAGGAUGUUGGCUUAGAAGCAGCCAUCAUUUAAAGAAAGCGUAAUAGCUCACUGGUCGAGUCGGCCUGCGCGGAAGAUGUAACGGGGCUAAACUGUGCACCGAAGCUGCGGCAGCGACACUAUGUGUUGUUGGGUAGGGGAGCGUUCUGUAAGCCUGCGAAGGUGGCCUGUGAGGGUUGCUGGAGGUAUCAGAAGUGCGAAUGCUGACAUAAGUAACGAUAAUGCGGGUGAAAAGCCCGCACGCCGGAAGACCAAGGGUUCCUGUCCAACGUUAAUCGGGGCAGGGUGAGUCGACCCCUAAGGCGAGGCCGAAAGGCGUAGUCGAUGGGAAACAGGUUAAUAUUCCUGUACUUGGUGUUACUGCGAAGGGGGGACGGAGAAGGCUAUGUUAGCCGGGCGACGGUUGUCCCGGUUUAAGCAUGUAGGCGGAGGUUCCAGGUAAAUCCGGUACCUUAUUAACGCUGAGGUGUGAUGACGAGGCACUACGGUGCUGAAGUAACAAAUGCCCUGCUUCCAGGAAAAGCCUCUAAGCAUCAGGUAACAUUAAAUCGUACCCCAAACCGACACAGGUGGUCAGGUAGAGAAUACCAAGGCGCUUGAGAGAACUCGGGUGAAGGAACUAGGCAAAAUGGUGCCGUAACUUCGGGAGAAGGCACGCUGAUAUGUAGGUGAAGCCCCUGCGGGUGGAGCUGAAAUCAGUCGAAGAUACCAGCUGGCUGCAACUGUUUAUUAAAAACACAGCACUGUGCAAACACGAAAGUGGACGUAUACGGUGUGACGCCUGCCCGGUGCCGGAAGGUUAAUUGAUGGGGUUAUCCGUAAGGAGAAGCUCUUGAUCGAAGCCCCGGUAAACGGCGGCCGUAACUAUAACGGUCCUAAGGUAGCGAAAUUCCUUGUCGGGUAAGUUCCGACCUGCACGAAUGGCGUAAUGAUGGCCAGGCUGUCUCCACCCGAGACUCAGUGAAAUUGAACUCGCUGUGAAGAUGCAGUGUACCCGCGGCAAGACGGAAAGACCCCGUGAACCUUUACUAUAGCUUGACACUGAACAUUGAGCCUUGAUGUGUAGGAUAGGUGGGAGGCUUUGAAGCGUGGACGCCAGUCUGCGUGGAGCCAACCUUGAAAUACCACCCUUUAAUGUUUGAUGUUCUAACGUUGGCCCCUGAUCGGGGUUGCGGACAGUGUCUGGUGGGUAGUUUGACUGGGGCGGUCUCCUCCCAAAGAGUAACGGAGGAGCACGAAGGUUAGCUAAUCCUGGUCGGACAUCAGGAGGUUAGUGCAAUGGCAUAAGCUAGCUUGACUGCGAGCGUGACGGCGCGAGCAGGUGCGAAAGCAGGUCAUAGUGAUCCGGUGGUUCUGAAUGGAAGGGCCAUCGCUCAACGGAUAAAAGGUACUCCGGGGAUAACAGGCUGAUACCGCCCAAGAGUUCAUAUCGACGGCGGUGUUUGGCACCUCGAUGUCGGCUCAUCACAUCCUGGGGCUGAAGUAGGUCCCAAGGGUAUGGCUGUUCGCCAUUUAAAGUGGUACGCGAGCUGGGUUUAGAACGUCGUGAGACAGUUCGGUCCCUAUCUGCCGUGGGCGCUGGAGAAUUGAGGGGGCUGCUCCUAGUACGAGAGGACCGGAGUGGACGCAUCACUGGUGUUCGGGUUGUCAUGCCAAUGGCAUUGCCCGGUAGCUAAAUGCGGAAGAGAUAAGUGCUGAAAGCAUCUAAGCACGAAACUUGCCCCGAGAUGAGUUCUCCCUGAGACUUUAAGUCUCCUGAAGGAACGUUAAAGACGAUGACGUUGAUAGGUCGGGUGUGUAAGCGUAGCGAUACGUUGAGCUAACCGAUACUAAUGAACCGUGAGGCUUAACC